RNAcentral lists this long non-coding RNA (450 nucleotides) under Homo sapiens (human). RNAcentral describes it as "non-protein coding lnc-GGCT-1:85". The record is from RNAcentral. Lineage: Eukaryota; Metazoa; Chordata; Mammalia; Primates; Hominidae.
CAGAUUUAUUUCUUCUUGCCUAGAGACCAUUAUGAUAAUGCAGCAGGGCCACCAGUCAGUUUCAGAUAAUGAUGUCAACCCCGGCCACCAAGAAGUAACCUUGUCUCCACUAGACAGAGCAGGUUGCAGGAAUUUAGCCAAUUCAGAGGUCUUGUUCUCCAUAAUUUGGAAUUUUCCUUCGGAUUUGAUCAAGUUGGAUAGAGUUGGUCAAACCCAAUGGGAAAAAGAUGAAAACAACAAGAAACAGAAACAAACAGCAACAACAACAACAACAAAAACAAAGCAGGAAAAAACUGAAACUCAUCUUCCCUGCUGGAAACGAGCUCAAACUCCAGAAAGGAGUUACCUGCCUUCCAUCAUCAUGGACGCAGGAAAAUUUGCCUUCCUUGUUGGAAGCAAGUAAAACUCCAAAAAAGGAGUUGCACAGCAAAAUAAACUUCAGAUCUCAAC